This 67-nucleotide transfer RNA is filed under the name Pygocentrus nattereri (red-bellied piranha). Its description in RNAcentral is "tRNA-Cys". It matches the Rfam family "tRNA". Rfam says of the family: Transfer RNA (tRNA) molecules are approximately 80 nucleotides in length. Their secondary structure includes four short double-helical elements and three loops (D, anti-codon, and T loops). Further hydrogen bonds mediate the characteristic L-shaped molecular structure. tRNAs have two regions of fundamental functional importance: the anti-codon, which is responsible for specific mRNA codon recognition, and the 3' end, to which the tRNAs corresponding amino acid is attached (by aminoacyl-tRNA synthetases). tRNAs cope with the degeneracy of the genetic code in two manners: having more than one tRNA (with a specific anti-codon) for a particular amino acid; and 'wobble' base-pairing, i.e. permitting non-standard base-pairing at the 3rd anti-codon position. Lineage: Eukaryota; Metazoa; Chordata; Actinopteri; Characiformes; Serrasalmidae. The record is from RNAcentral.
AGUUCCGUGGUGUAGGGCACAUCAGAUUGCAAGUCUGAAAGUGCAGGAUAAUUCCCUGCCGGGGCUU